Non-coding RNA from Neochlamydia sp. EPS4, 415 nucleotides. NCBI's taxonomy places the organism in Bacteria, Pseudomonadati, Chlamydiota, Chlamydiia, Parachlamydiales, Parachlamydiaceae. The record is from Rfam.
GGGGGUGUCACGGUUUCGACUGGGAAGCGAGGUAUUGAUUGCAUGCGGAGGGUAUCGGUUGGCCUCCUAAAAAAGCCGGUGAACAAUUAAGUGCCAAAACAAGCACAAACGUAAUCGCUGUUGACUUUAGCCCUGUGGUUGAAGCUAACUUUGAAAUCGUAGCACGCGCUGCUUAAUUGCAGUGCUUGCGCAGUAGUCUGAAAUUGGACCAAGGAUUUUAGAGUCUACUGUUAUUUUCUUGGUAUGAGCUAAGUUUCUCCAGCCUUAGAGAAACUUAAACUCAAGAUCAAUUGAGGCGAGUAGUUUCCAGUGGUGUGUUCUGCAGCGGAAUCUACUUAUUUUCAGAACACUAAGCAUGUAGUGGUCACUAUGUAGUUUGCUCAGGACGAGAGUUCAAUUCUCUCCACCUCCAACC